GCCCGCUCAGAAACUUAAAGGAAGUUGACGGGGCCCGCACAAGCGGUGGAGUAUGUGGUUUAAUUCGAUGCAACGCGAAGAACCUUACCUGGUCUUGACAUCCCGGAGACCCUUAGGAAACUAGGGGGUGCUUCCAUCUGGAAGAAUCUGGAGACAGGUGCUGCAUGGCUGUCGUCAGCUCGUGUCGUGAGAUGUUGGGUUAAGUCCCGCAACGAGCGCAACCCUUGCCUUUAGUUGCCAGCAGUUCGGCUGGGCACUCUAAAGGGACUGCCGGUGUUAAACCGGAGGAAGGUGGGGAUGACGUCAAGUCCUCAUGGCCUUUAUGACCAGGGCUACACACGUACUACAAUGGCCGAUACAAAGGGCAGCGACACUGCGAGGUGAAGCCAAUCCCGUAAAAUCGGUCUCAGUCCGGAUUGGAGUCUGCAACUCGACUCCAUGAAGUUGGAAUCGCUAGUAAUCGUGGAUCAGCAUGCCACGGUGAAUACGUUCCCGGGCCUU
Molecule: ribosomal RNA, 501 nt
Filed under: uncultured Desulfobulbus sp.
Lineage: Bacteria; Pseudomonadati; Thermodesulfobacteriota; Desulfobulbia; Desulfobulbales; Desulfobulbaceae
Description: bacterial SSU rRNA
Rfam family: Bacterial small subunit ribosomal RNA
Source: RNAcentral